UACGUAGGUGGCAAGCGUUGUCCGGAAUUAUUGGGCGUAAAGCGCGCGCAGGCGGCCUUUUAAGUCUGAUGUGAAAGCCCACGGCUCAACCGUGGAAGGUCAUUGGAAACUGGGGGACUUGAGUACAGAAGAGAAGAGUGGAAUUCCACGUGUAGCGGUGAAAUGCGUAGAGAUGUGGAGGAACACCAGUGGCGAAGGCGACUCUUUGGUCUGUAACUGACGCUGAGGCGCGAAAGCGUGGGGAGCAAACAGG
RNAcentral lists this ribosomal RNA (253 nucleotides) under uncultured bacterium. RNAcentral describes it as "partial 16S ribosomal RNA". It matches the Rfam family "Bacterial small subunit ribosomal RNA", at positions 524 to 776 of the family's 1533-position model. The record is from RNAcentral.